Long non-coding RNA from Herpailurus yagouaroundi (jaguarundi), 605 nucleotides. RefSeq lists it as uncharacterized. NCBI's taxonomy places the organism in Eukaryota, Metazoa, Chordata, Mammalia, Carnivora, Felidae. The transcript is spliced from 3 exons. The record is from RefSeq and is a predicted model, not a curated record.
GUUAAAAUUGCUUUUAAUGUUUUUGACAGCAGAAACCAAGUGCAACAAAGAAAAAAUCACUGAAAAGUGAAACAGCAGCCUAUUUUGUUAGCUGUUGCCCUAAUUCAAGGGAAUCCAAGACCAGGGUCAUUACAAGGAUGAGAUCAACCCAAGGUUGAUAUACCCUACAGAUGUGCUCUUGCACCACUAAAUCCCAGAGACUUGGUGUUAUUGAAGAUUGGGAAGAACAGGCACCCAGAAGAGCAACUCUAACCUCCUUGAACAGGACAUUUUGAGGUGUCAUUGACUACCUAUUCAGUAAAACUCAAGAGUAUUAAGCCAUGGAUUCACCACACCCAAGCAGGAAGGAGCUAGAGCCACCAUGAUCCCAAUUUCCUCAAGAACGAGGAAUAACAAAAAGACAGUGGGGACUCAAAUCAGUAACCAAAGAGUUAGUGGAACUAAGAAGUGCAACUACAACUUUUUACCAAAAUCAGCUUGUUCUCAAAAUGCUGUCUGCCACUGAAAGGGUGGGCCUACGCCGGCCAACUCCAUCUUGUUCUGUGUCCUUCACCUUGACCACACCUCCUCCCCUUGAGCAACCUCCCCCUCACCUGCCUAACAGG